CGGCCGCGUCGACAUCCUGGCUCAGGAUGAACGCUGGCGGCGUGCUUAACACAUGCAAGUCGAGCGAUGAAGUUUCCUUCGGGAAACGGAUUAGCGGCGGACGGGUGAGUAACACGUGGGUAACCUGCCUCAUAGAGUGGAAUAGCCUUCCGAAAGGAAGAUUAAUACCGCAUAACGUUGAAAGAUGGCAUCAUCAUUUAACCAAAGGAGCAAUCCGCUAUGAGAUGGACCCGCGGCGCAUAGCUAGUUGUGGGUAACGGCUACCAAGGCGACGAUGCGUAGCCGACCUGAGAGGGUGAUCGGCCACGAUUGGGACUGAGACACGGCCCAGGACUCCUACGGGUAGGCAGCGUGAACUGGGGGGGGUUCCAACGGCUUGGAAUUUGGGAAACUAAGGGGCCCUUAAGGGGUUCUAAAACGGGUAUCCGUUUUAAAAGUCCAAAGGGGGUUCCGAAAACGUUUUUAGGGGACCGUUAGGGGGUAAACGGGGUCCCAAAAGGGGGUCCCAAACGGGGUAACCGGUAACGGGGGUAACGGUAACGGGUACGGUACGUACGUACGUACGUACGUACGUACGUACGUACGUACGUACGUACGUACGUACGUACGUACGUACGUACGUACGUACGUACGUACGUACGUACGUACGUACGUACGUACGUACG
This 665-nucleotide ribosomal RNA is filed under the name uncultured bacterium. RNAcentral describes it as "partial 16S ribosomal RNA". It matches the Rfam family "Bacterial small subunit ribosomal RNA", at positions 1 to 535 of the family's 1533-position model. The record is from RNAcentral.